RNAcentral lists this ribosomal RNA (254 nucleotides) under uncultured bacterium. Its description in RNAcentral is "partial 16S ribosomal RNA". It matches the Rfam family "Bacterial small subunit ribosomal RNA", at positions 524 to 776 of the family's 1533-position model. The record is from RNAcentral.
CACGUAGGCACCAAGCGUUAUCCGGAUUUAUUGGGCGUAAAGAGCUCGUAGGCGGUUCGGUAAGUCGGGUGUGAAAACUCUGGGCUCAACCCAGAGAGGCCGCCCGAUACUGCUGUGACUAGAGUGCGGUAGGGGAGCGGGGAAUUCCUGGUGUAGCGGUGAAAUGCGCAGAUAUCAGGAGGAACACCUGCGGUGUAGACGGCUUACUGGACCAUAACUGACGCUGAGGCACGAAAGCGUGGGUAGCAAACAGG